GGGCUUAAAGGGCCCAAAUCGAACAAAUUGAAUACAACCAAAAAACCCAAAAGCCCUGAAGAUGGACCCAGCCCAUGAAAAGACACAAAGGAAAACUCCAAAAACCUUCAUAGGGAGAAGUUCACGAAGCAUCCACUCAAGUUCUACCGUAAAGCGUCACUAGCAGUAGAGAAAAGAGUACCCCAAAAGCGCCAUCCACCACUAACACCAUUAAAUGGCAGAAACAAAGCCAAAACAAUAAAGCCCCAGAGAAAGCUACAAAACAAAGGAUUAAACACAGAGUUUUAGAAAACAGAGAGCGCUUUAGAAGCUAAAUUGUCAUCUCCUCUGCCGCUUAAAAAGACCACUAGACUGCCUUUAGACGAAGCUCUCUGUAUUGAG
This 381-nucleotide unclassified non-coding RNA is filed under the name Hevea brasiliensis (rubber tree). Lineage: Eukaryota; Viridiplantae; Streptophyta; Magnoliopsida; Malpighiales; Euphorbiaceae. The record is from RNAcentral.